GGGCGGUUAGCUCAGGGGGAGAGCGCUUCCCUGACACGGAAGAGGUCGGCGGUUCAAAUCCGCCACCGCCCA
RNAcentral lists this transfer RNA (72 nucleotides) under Acidimicrobiia bacterium. RNAcentral's name for it is "tRNA-Val". It matches the Rfam family "tRNA". From Rfam's summary of the family: Transfer RNA (tRNA) molecules are approximately 80 nucleotides in length. Their secondary structure includes four short double-helical elements and three loops (D, anti-codon, and T loops). The record is from RNAcentral. Lineage: Bacteria; Bacillati; Actinomycetota; Acidimicrobiia.